GAAAGAACUUGUCAGGAGAUGCUUUGGUGCCUUCGGGAACUGUGAGACAGGUGCUGCAUGGCUGUCGUCAGCUCGUGUUGUGAAAUGUUGGGUUAAGUCCCGCAACGAGCGCAACCCUUAUCCUUUGUUGCCAGCGGUUCGGCCGGGAACUCAAAGGAGACUGCCAGUGAUAAACUGGAGGAAGGUGGGGAUGACGUCAAGUCAUCAUGGCCCUUACGACCAGGGCUACACACGUGCUACAAUGGCAUAUACAAAGAGAAGCGACCUCGCGAGAGCAAGCGGACCUCAUAAAGUAUGUCGUAGUCCGGAUUGGAGUCUGCAACUCGACUCCAUGAAGUCGGAAUCGCUAGUAAUCGUAGAUCAGAAUGCUACGGUGAAUACGUUCCCGGGCCUUGUACACACCGAAAA
Molecule: ribosomal RNA, 408 nt
Filed under: bacterium
Lineage: Bacteria
Description: bacterial SSU rRNA
Rfam family: Bacterial small subunit ribosomal RNA
Source: RNAcentral